CACUUUUAUCCACGUGUCUAGACAUCCGUCUAUGACAUAAACCCCCUUCAUAGCGAACUAGUCGGGUGGUGUUGGCUCUUUUUACCAAGUCUUCAUCAUUCCGUCAUUUUUUCUCCUUAUUUUUUAAUCAUUUUUAAAACCCAAUUGAAACUCUAGACUGAAACCUUGUUGUAGGUAGCGAAAGUUACUUGCAUCGAAAAAAACAAAAUUCUAAA
RNAcentral lists this unclassified non-coding RNA (215 nucleotides) under soil metagenome. RNAcentral's name for it is "partial internal transcribed spacer 1". The record is from RNAcentral.